CAGGCACUAUUCCGGCACUUGCAGUGGCUGCUGCAGUGGUGGUAGCAGUGUUGCACGUGUGUGGGUAACCAUGGUCCCAGGAUACCUCCUCCUCCUUCUCUUCCUCAUGGCCCUGCAGGCCUCUGGCACGCAGGCUGCUCCGUGGCAAAGAUUGAGAGCAGAUGUGCACCCAGAGAGGGCUUUACCAGCCCUUCCACAGCCUUCUAAAUUUGAUCCAAGCUGGCAUCCCAGAAGUAGGUAGUCAAUCUUUACUGACUUUACAGACCCACAUCUCCACCCCCUGUCAUUACCCAGCCACUUCAUGACACGUCACUAAGGAUGAAGGAGAUCACAACAUACAUUGGGAACAUUUCUCCCUUGUGCUUGAUUACAGUUGUGCUUGUUGGUGAUGAGUACAAAGUUCUGUGGCCUAAUCCUCCCCGCGAGCCUCAGGGUUAUUCUGAAGGUAAGCUGCUUGAAGAAAUGAGCAUUUCAGUGUUCCUUUUGUGUGAAAUGUAACUUCACCUUUCCUUGGCCAAUGUACAGACAUGGAAAAGAGCAGAUUAAGAACAGGUUAAGCUUGGUGACACUUGCCAAGUGCUUUGUGAAAAUGUCCUUGCUAGCCACUGCAGUACUUUGCUGCUUCCAACGCCUGCUAAAAAAACAGCUGGCAUACUGAAGUUGCAUUUGAACCUGAUGUGGGCUCCAUGAAACUCCUGGCAUCCCACGUGAUUAGUUUUGUACCAGUACAUUGCUAGUGCAGGUAACUCUUUGGAAGAUGCUCUUCCAAGCACUGUAGAACAAUCUUGUGCUUGAACUGCAUUCACUGUUAUUUUGAUUAGAAGAAUUCUACUGACAUAGUUCACUGGAAAUUCUCUGUCCUGUAUUUGUUUAAAGAUGUGGCAGUAGAUGAUAGCUAUCCAGCUUUCCAGCUGCGUUCCAGUACUGAACAUCCAGGCGAUCACAUGGAUAUGUGGUUUCUUACUUUCUUUGAGAGCUUUCAGGCCAAAUGCAAGACAGGUGUCUCUGCAGGUUUGAAAACUGCAUCUUGCAUGUGUGUGCCCUGUCACUGCAUGAUCCCUGAUAUGCUCUGCUAUUCAGUUAUGCUGAUGUCAAUCACAGUAUGUGAUGGGAACUUCUUAUGUUUUCAUAUUUGGUUACAGAUAUGCCCUCAAAGAAGGCUCUUCCACCUCUUCCGCAGCCUUCGCUGGAUCCAAGCUGGCAUCCAAGAGAUACCCAGAGAGCACAUUAUCUAGCAUCAGCUAGAAGAGGAAAAAAGUCCCAAAAGACAUCUGAAGUCUUAGAGAAAACUGUGAAGAAACUGGUGCAGGUAGAUUUUGGUGAGUCCCAAAUCUUUUUUUUCUUAAACUUUAUUGAUGUAUUUGUAGAAGACUUGC
This is a non-coding RNA of Meleagris gallopavo (turkey), 1376 nucleotides long. NCBI's taxonomy places the organism in Eukaryota, Metazoa, Chordata, Aves, Galliformes, Phasianidae. The record is from RefSeq and is a predicted model, not a curated record.